This 651-nucleotide ribosomal RNA is filed under the name Bacillus amyloliquefaciens. Its description in RNAcentral is "bacterial SSU rRNA". It matches the Rfam family "Bacterial small subunit ribosomal RNA", at positions 57 to 691 of the family's 1533-position model. Lineage: Bacteria; Bacillati; Bacillota; Bacilli; Caryophanales; Bacillaceae. The record is from RNAcentral.
GCAGUCGAGCGGACAGAUGGGAGCUUGCUCCCUGAUGUUAGCGGCGGACGGGUGAGUAACACGUGGGUAACCUGCCUGUAAGACUGGGAUAACUCCGGGAAACCGGGGCUAAUACCGGAUGGUUGUCUGAACCGCAUGGUUCAGACAUAAAAGGUGGCUUCGGCUACCACUUACAGAUGGACCCGCGGCGCAUUAGCUAGUUGGUGAGGUAACGGCUCACCAAGGCGACGAUGCGUAGCCGACCUGAGAGGGUGAUCGGCCACACUGGGACUGAGACACGGCCCAGACUCCUACGGGAGGCAGCAGUAGGGAAUCUUCCGCAAUGGACGAAAGUCUGACGGAGCAACGCCGCGUGAGUGAUGAAGGUUUUCGGAUCGUAAAGCUCUGUUGUUAGGGAAGAACAAGUGCCGUUCAAAUAGGGCGGCACCUUGACGGUACCUAACCAGAAAGCCACGGCUAACUACGUGCCAGCAGCCGCGGUAAUACGUAGGUGGCAAGCGUUGUCCGGAAUUAUUGGGCGUAAAGGGCUCGCAGGCGGUUUCUUAAGUCUGAUGUGAAAGCCCCCGGCUCAACCGGGGAGGGUCAUUGGAAACUGGGGAACUUGAGUGCAGAAGAGGAGAGUGGAAUUCCACGUGUAGCGGUGAAAUGCGU